GAACUACUUUCAAAACUGGAGUCACCUGUUUUAAAAAUCUGUGGCUUAUUUUGAUAUGCAUGAAAGCCUCUGGAAAGUCUUUGAACGUGUGAAGACUGAAGUGGAGCAGAUUCCUUGGUGAGGAUCUUUCCAAAGGUCCUUUGGUAUAUACCAGCUGCAGACUGAGUCAGCGGAGUCAUUAUAAACCCAGACCAGCUGGAAAACCAGCAGCUUCCUUUUCCUGUCUCUUGGAAUGCUCAGUCCAAUAUGUUGGGAGAAACCAAGCAGACACAUAGGAGGUCCCUUAUAGUUGUUCUAGCUGACAGCUCCAGUGACCUAGCAAACUGCCAGCAUCAAUUGCUAGACAUAUGAAAAAUUGAGGAACCAAGAAGUGAAGUAAUUUCUACCACCUCUUAAUAUUGGACAUUUUAGUGGCUAACAAUGCUGUGAUAUUAUAAACAACGUUGCCACGAAUGUCAUUGUUCAUGUUCUUAAAGAAUGUCUUUAUGAUAAAUUCCAAAAAGUAGAACUACUGGGUCUAAAGGUGUUUACGUUUCUAAAAGUUUUUGUAACAGACUCUCAGAUAUUUCCUUCAGGGGGACUACAUUAUUUACACUUCAUUCAACAACGUGAGUAUAUGAUGCUCCGUAUCUCAUUUCAAUCCCUGUCGGACAAAAAGGUAUCUGAAUGCUACUUUAAUUUACAUAAAAACGAGAUUUCAUUUUUAAUGAUUUCUGUAAGCACUCUUUGUAUACUAAUCCUGUCGCUGACAAGUGGUAAAUAUUUGUUUACAUGCUACA
This is a long non-coding RNA of Lutra lutra (Eurasian river otter), 779 nucleotides long. RefSeq lists it as uncharacterized. The record is from RefSeq and is a predicted model, not a curated record. The transcript has 3 exons. Lineage: Eukaryota; Metazoa; Chordata; Mammalia; Carnivora; Mustelidae.